UUUUUUUUUUUUUCUAUUUUUUUUUUUUAAAUUCUGAAGCCAGACCGUCUUUCCUCACAGCUCCACGGCUGCAUCUCCGUGGGCACGCAAGCUUCCCCUGGUUACCUGAGCUGCUCCUGCCGUCUCCCGCCUGGGCUUCGCCGUGGUGCACCCGAUCCCGGAAUCGUGCGUCUGCGCCCUGCGAAAGAAGGACCUGCUGGCGGAGCUCCGGCCGGGGUCUCCUGCCUCGCAGCUGGGCGAGGGGACUUGGAGGACAGGGUGAAGCUGCAGAAGACCUGGGGUGGGAUGGCUAGAGAGGACGCCAAGGACUGGGGAAGGGGAAGUUAGGAAUACCUUACAUCCAAUGCCCACCCGUGCUCCGCAGGGCAAGGGCAGCCGUCGCCUCGGCCGCGUGCACCCAGCUCAGGCUGUUCCCAGGGAUUUAGUCUGGGGGGACAACCCAUGGCGAGAUGUGGUGGCAUUUUACCUCAGAGUGGAGCUGAAGAUGGAUAAACAAGGUAUCUGAUGUAUCUGCCUGAGAAGGCAGAGCUGGAGAAAGGCGGAGCGAGGGAGCGCGUGAAAAGAAAGAGAUGCCGAAUGCCGGGCUCACAGGCAGAAGGAAUUUUCCUUGUCUUGGAUGAGACUUUUGACUUGGACUUUUGGGUUAAGGAUUUACAGAAAGCGUGGUGCUGGCAUCUGAUCAGCUUCUGGGGUGGCCUCAGGAAGCUUACAAUCAUGGUGGCAUUUGAAGUGGAAGCGAGAGAGAGAAGAGGAGAUGCAACACACUUUUAAACAAGAUUUCAGGAGAACUCAUUCACUAUGUUCUGGAGACCAGAAGGCCAAAAUCAAAAGUAUGGGCAGGCUUGAUUUCUUUAGAAGACUCCAGCGGAGAACUGUGUCUCCUUGCUUCUGAUUCUACAUCUCCAUCCAUGGGCCACUGUUUCAGCAACCUCAGCCAGUGCAACACAACCUCAGCCAAGAAGAGUAUGCAGAGAAAGGAGUCCCCUACCUGCCACAAAACUGUUGUCUGAAAACUGUCUCAUAUUGUCUCAAGUUGUCAUUCAUUGUGAAUUAGACCUGUUUAACAUGUAAUCUGCAACAUGCUUCACUGUCUAAUUUUCCAGAGCCCCUCAUAUAAGGAACUGUAUUAUUGGUAUAAUCAUCAUGGUGAAGAAGUUGGUAUGUGGGGGAGAGAUGACAGAAACAGAGAGUAAGUCAGAGCUGGCUGCCUGACAGAUAAAAAGGAAAUGACCAAAAAAAAAAAAAAAGACACAGAAGAAUACUUUGUUG
This 1269-nucleotide long non-coding RNA is filed under the name Homo sapiens (human). RNAcentral's name for it is "cancer susceptibility 15". The record is from RNAcentral. Lineage: Eukaryota; Metazoa; Chordata; Mammalia; Primates; Hominidae.